This 305-nucleotide ribosomal RNA is filed under the name uncultured bacterium. RNAcentral describes it as "bacterial SSU rRNA". It matches the Rfam family "Bacterial small subunit ribosomal RNA", at positions 337 to 640 of the family's 1533-position model. The record is from RNAcentral.
UCCUACGGGGCGCAGCAGUGAGGAAUAUUGGUCAAUGGUCGGGAGACUGAACCAGCCAAGCCGCGUGAGGGAUGAAGGUACAGAGUAUCGUAAACCUCUUUUGUCAGGGAACAAAGGCGGGGACGUGUCCCCGGAUGAGUGUACCUGAAGAAAAAGCAUCGGCUAACUCCGUGCCAGCAGCCGCGGUAAUACGGAGGAUGCGAGCGUUAUCCGGAUUUAUUGGGUUUAAAGGGUGCGCAGGCGGUCUGUUAAGUCAGCGGUCAAAGUCCGGGGCUCCACCCCGGCCCGCCGUUGAAACUGGCAGU